AAGAUCCUUGAUAUAAAAUCCAAACGGAUCAAAAGUCAGAGAGCAUCAAUUAUCAUACACAAACUUAUAAAUUGAAAGCAAGUUAUGAGAGGCUUGAGGAACUAGCAACACAUGAUUGAGUUUAAAAGUAGCAUUGGUUGUAAGAAGUAAAGCAUAUCCAGUAUGUGAAAUGCAUAGACCUUUACCAUCUCCAACAAAGAGUUGUUCACUUCCAGUGUAGGGAAAAGCAGAAUUGAGGGAAGCUAGAUUGGGAGUGACAUGAGGAGAGGCACCGCUAUCAGCAAGCCAAUAACUCGGGGGAGGAGAAGUAGUAGCAGUCAGACCCAUGGGUGAACUAAGUUGAGACCUCUGAGAAGCAAUUUGAGAAAGUCUGUUACAGGAGAGAGCCUCGUGACCAAAUUGAAGACAUAAUUGGCAUUGAAGAUUACGGCCAGACAGAAACCAGGAGAGUGCGAGGGGAGUGAAUUAUUUUAUAGUCUGAUACUGUGGAACUACUUGGGGACGAUAUACAUAUGAUUCUCCUGCAUGACAAGAGCGAGCAAGCAAACCCUUAAAGAUAGGAUUAUCAAACGGUGCUCUGAUUUUCUGGACUGUCAAUUUUGAAAUAUUUUGGAUGGAAAUGGACUUUCAACGCUUCCCAUACUCGCAAUUCCUUCUAGGGACCUCUAGACCUCAGCUCUGUUGAAUAGCUAUACAAAGAUUGAAUGUAUGUGGGACUUCGUCGGUCCAGAAAGAAAGCUAUUGAACUGUAAAGAUAGGAUUAUCAGAGGGAAAACGAUGUUAGCUUACUUCAACCACUCAAGUACUUGUGUAUGUAUGUACUUCUGUGGUUUCCAUAUGGCGGAAUGCUUACUCAUCUUUCAAUGCCUCUGUCAUCUUGUGGUAGGUGCAUAUACAUAUGUUCCUCUACAAACACAAUGGUUGGAGAGAGCUUGGCUUAUUGGCACCGCUUGCUAGAAUGCACUUGUGACUAGACUUGGUGGCUGGCUGCUGUGCCUACAGAUUUCAGUGUAAGUAGUUGAACACUUAAGUGUAAUUUGUUCUUCCUUUAUGUAUCAAUGUAA
Non-coding RNA from Malus domestica (apple), 1064 nucleotides. NCBI's taxonomy places the organism in Eukaryota, Viridiplantae, Streptophyta, Magnoliopsida, Rosales, Rosaceae. The record is from RefSeq and is a predicted model, not a curated record.